UGUUAGAAGCUCAUGGCUGACUACCC
Molecule: non-coding RNA, 26 nt
Filed under: Mus musculus (house mouse)
Lineage: Eukaryota; Metazoa; Chordata; Mammalia; Rodentia; Muridae
Source: RNAcentral